AUUGAAUGCUGGCGGCAUGCUUUACACAUGCAAGUCGAACGGCAGCGCGGGCUUCGGCCUGGCGGCGAGUGGCGAACGGGUGAGUAAUACAUCGGAACGUGCCCAGUAGUGGGGGAUAGCUCGGCGAAAGCCGGAUUAAUACCGCAUACGACCUGAGGGUGAAAGUGGGGGAUCUUCGGACCUCGCGCUAUUGGAGCGGCCGAUGGCAGAUUAGCUAGUUGGUGGGGUAAAGGCCUACCAAGGCGACGAUCUGUAGCUGGUCUGAGAGGACGACCAGCCACACUGGGACUGAGACACGGCCCAGACUCCUACGGGAGGCAGCAGUGGGGAAUUUUGGACAAUGGGCGAAAGCCUGAUCCAGCAAUGCCGCGUGUGUGAUGAAGGCCUUCGGGUUGUAAAGCACUUUUGGCGGGAACGAAAAGGACUGUGCCAAUACCACGGUUCGAUGACGGUACCCGCAGAAUAAGCACCGGCUAACUACGUG
Molecule: ribosomal RNA, 484 nt
Filed under: uncultured bacterium
Lineage: Bacteria
Description: partial 16S ribosomal RNA
Rfam family: Bacterial small subunit ribosomal RNA
Source: RNAcentral